CCAUUGUCACUGGUUAUUCUGAAAAAAAAUAUGGCUGUAUCCCUCACACCCAAUCAACUGCAAAUGGAUCAGAAGGUUUGAAAAAUGAAGGUAUACCCCAAAAGAAAAAUGGCUAAAUGAUAUAAACAAAAUUUGUAAAUAUAAGAUGUUCAAUCUCACUAGCAAAUUAAAUUCACAAUGAGAUACCAUUUCAUGCCCAUCAAUUGACAAAAAAACGGGUCUUCUAAUACCAAGGAUGUGGACAAUGGGCCAUCCUUACAUUGUAGAGCAAUUGGGUAUCAUCAUCUGGUACAUUUACAGAUGCUCUUAACAUACAACCUGGCAGAUCCUUACCUUCUUAGGGAUUCCUCACAAGUGCUGGAAGAGCCAUACCAGGAUGUUUGCAAAAGAAAAGCACCAACCUAAAUGACCAACAACAGGAAAAUGGGCCUCUCACUGUUGUGGCCUCUCCCGUUGCGGAGCACAGGCUCCGGACGCACAGGCCCAGCGGCCAUGGCUCACGGGCCCAGCCGCUCCGCGGCAUGUGGGAUCUUCCCGGACCGGGGCACGAACCCGCGUCCCCUAGCAUCGGCAGGCGGACUCUCAACCACUGUGCCACCAGGGAAGCCCUACUCUUUUUGAUCUGAUUAUAAAUGGGAUUGUUUUCUUAAUUUCUUUUUCUGAUACUUCUUUGUUAGUGUAUAGAAAUUCAACAGGUUUCUGUAUAUUAAUUUUGUAUCCUGCAACAUUACCAAAUUCAUUGAUGAGCUCUAAUAAUUUUUUGGUGGCAUCCUGUGGAUUUUCUAUGUAUUGUAUGUCACCUGCAAACAAUAAAUUUAUUUUUAUUUUUGGCUGCGUUGGGUUUUUGUUGCUGUGCGCGGGCUUUCUCUGGUUGCAGCAAGCAUAUGGCCUGUACUAUGUUGAAGUAUGUUCCUCUAUAUGUACUUUGUUGAGUUUUUAGCAUAAAUGGAUGUUGAAUCUUGUCAAAAGCUUUUUCUCCAUCUAUUUAUAUGAUCAUCUGGCUUUUAUUCUUCAGUUUGUUAAUGUGGUAUAUAACACUCAUUUGCAGAUAUUGAACUACCCUUGCAUCCGAGGUAAAUCCCACUUGAUCAUGGCAUAUGAUCCUUUUUAUGUCUUGUUGAAUUUGGUUUGCUAAUAUUUUCUUGAGGAUUUGCAUCUGUGUUCAGCAGUGAUACUAGCCUCUAAUUUUCUUUUUCUGUGCUAUCUCUGUCUGGUUUUGGUAUCAGAGUGAUUUCUGGCAUUGUAGAAUGAGUUUGAAAACAUUCCUUCCUCUGCAAUUUCUUGAAAUAGUUGAGAAAGGUGUUAAUUCUUCUCUAAAUGUACAGAAUUCAUCUGUGAAGCCAUCUGGUCCUACACUUUUGAGGGAAGUUGUUUUAUUGCUGAUUGAACUUCAUUAAUGGUAACUGGUCUGUUUAUGUAUUUUCUAUUUCCUCCUGGUUCAGUCUUGGGAAAGUGUACAUUUCUAGGACUUUGUUCAUUUCUUCUAGGUUGUCCAUUUUAUUGGCAUGUAGUGAUUUGUAGUAGUCUCUUAUGAUCUUUUGUAUUUCUGGGGUGUGGGUUGUGACUUUUUUUUUUUUUAAUUUAUUUAUUUUUGGCUGCAUUGGGUCUUCGUUGCUGCAGGCAGGCUUUCUCUAGUUGUGGCGAGCAGGGGCUACUCUUUGUCGCGGUGCGUGUGCUUCUUAUUGUGGUGGCUUCUCUUGUUGCGGAGCACGGGCUCUAGGCGCACAGGCUUCAGUAGUUGUGGCAUGAGGGCUCAGUAGUUGUGGUUUGUGAGAUUUAGAUCACAGGCUCAGCAGUUGUGCCGCACAGGCUUAGUUGCUCCACAGCAUGUGGGAUCUUCCCAGACCAGGGCUCGAACCCAAGUCCUCUGCAUUAGUAGGUGGAUUCUUAACCCUUGCGCCGCCAGGGAAGCCCUUCAUUUCUGAUUUUAUUGAUUUGGACCCUCUCUCUUUUUCUUGAUGAGUCUGGCUAAAGGUUUAUCAAUUUUGUUUAUUUUUUCAAAGAAUCAGCUCUUAGUUUUUUUGAUCCUUCCUAUUGUUUUCUUAGUCUUUAUUUCUGCUCUAAUCUUUAUGAUUUCUUUCUUUCUACUAACUUCGGGUUUUGUUUGUUCUUCUUUUUCUAGUUCUUUUAGAUGUAAAGUUAAGUUGUUUGAGAUUUUGCAUGUUUCCUGAGCUAGGCUUGGAUCACUAUAAAUUUCCCUCUUAGAACUGCUUUUGCUGCAUCCCACAGAUUUUGAAUCGUUCUGUUUUUGCUUUUAUUUGUCUUCAAGUAUUUUUUAAAUUUCUUCUUUGAUUUCUUCAGUGAUCCACUGCUUGUUUAGUAGCAUAUUCCCCACAAGGGAAGAGAACAAAAGAAGAAAGGGAGAAAAAGUAACUACAAAAACAACCCCCAAAACAAUUAACAAAAUGGCAAUAAGUGGGACUUCCCUGGUGGCACAGUGAUUAAGAAUCCGCCUGCCAAUGCAGGGGACCCAGGUUCGAGCCCUGAUUUGGGAAGAUCCCACAUGCCGCAGAGCAACUAAGCUAGUGCGCCACAACUACUGAGCCUGUGCUCUAGAGCCCGCAAGCCACAACUACUGAAGCCCACGCACCUAGAGCCUGUGCUCUGCAACAAGAGAAGCCACCUCAAUGAGAAGCCCGCGCGCCACAAUGAAGAGUAGCCCCCACUCACCGCAACUAGAGAAAGCCCGCACACAACAACGAAGACCUGAUGGCUGCAUCAGGCUGCAUAAAUAAAUAAAUUUAUUUUUUUUAAUGGCAGUAAGUACAUACCUAUCAAUAAUUACUUUAAAUGUAAAUGGACUAAAUGCUCCAAGACAUAGAGUGACUGAAUGGAUACAAAAAGAAGACCCAUAUAUAUGCUGCCUUCAAGAGACUCAUUUCAGAUCAAAAGGCAUACUGAAAGUGAGAGGAUGGAAAAAGGCAUUCUAUGCAAAGGGAAAUGAAAAGAAAGCUGGAGUAGCAAUACUUGUGUCAAAGUAGAUUUUGAAACAAAGACUUUAACAGGAGGCAAAGGACAUUACAUAGUGAUCAAGGGAUCAAUCCAAAGACGUAACAGCUGUAUAUAUAUAUUCACCCAACAUAGGAGCAAAUAUUAAUACAUAAAGCAAAUAUUAACAGACAUAAAGGGAGAAACUGACAGUAACACAAUAUUAGUACGGGACUUUAACACACCACUUAGAUCGAUGGACAUAUCAUCCAGACAGAAAACACUGGCCUUGAAUGACAUUAGAACAAAUGGAAUAUAUAUAUAAAACAUCCCAUCCAAAAGCAGCAGAAUACACAUUCUUUUCCAGUACAUAUGGAACAUUCUCCAGGAUAGAGUCAUAAACCGGGGUUGGUAAAUUUAAGAAAAUUGAAAUCAUAGCAAGCAUCUUUUCUGACCACAAUGCUAUGAUACUAGAAAUCAAGUAUAAGAAAAAAAACAGAAAACAAAAAAUACCCUGGAAACACGCAAACAUGUAGAGGCCAAAUAAUAUUCUACUAUUUCUUUUAAAAAACAAGAGGAAGUUUUCAGUAAUGAUGGUUGCUGAGAAUAAGUGAAAAUGCUGUGAUAUAGAUGGCAGAUGGUGGUAGCCAGUUUUCUCACUGUUGGAGUAGGAGGUUACAGAUAAGCAAGGGAAGACAGCUAGAAUGAUCCAUGUGGUAGUGAAUUACAGUUGGAAACACCAGGAUAAACUAUGUUUAGCUUAAUAUCGAUACAGAAAAUUCCAUAUAGAAAUAUUUCUAGUUAUGUGUAUAUAUACAUGUAUUACACUGUCAACUGAGUGGGCCAAGAAGCAAGGACAGACAUUCCAGUGGCGAUGAGCACACUUAGCUCCCAGUUUAGGUUUCUGAUGCCAUUCUCCAAUUAAAGGAAUCAAGUCUCCUUAGAGAAAUGGCUGAUUCUAGGACUGAGGCAGAAAAUGUACAAAUGCCUGGAGAACACUAGUGCCAGAAAGCAAGGAAGUGCUCAAACACAAAAACAAUGAUCAAGGAGAUGAAGUUAUGUCAAAGGGACACAGGAGCCAAGUGAAGAAGCUUUGAAUGGCCAAAGCUGGAACAAUUAGAGCAAUAAAAUAAAGUAGUAUUGAAUUAUAAUCCAAAGUAUAAAAUAAAUAUCCAUGAGUUCAUACUGAUAUAAAUAAAUGGGAGAAAACAGAAAUCUCCCUUGUAGAAGAAAUCCAAGUAAUUUCUAUAGGCACUCUGCCAUUACGGAGGUGAAGUUCUUUAAGCCUGAGCUUAAAUCACAUAGUGACUUCCAAAGAGUACAUAUGGGGACGUCCCUGGUGGUGCAGUGGUUAAAAAUCCGCCUGCCAAAUGCAGGGGAUGCACGUUCGAUCCCUGGUCCAGGAAGAUGCCACAUGCCGCGGUGCAACUAAGCCCGUGUGCCACAACUACUGAGCCCACAUGUUGCAGCUACUGAAGCCCAAGCAUCUAGAACCCAUGCUCCGCAACAAGAGAAGCCACCACAAUGAGAAGCCCGCACAUCGCAACGGAGAGCAGCCCCCCACUCACCACAACUAGAGAAAGCCUGUGUGCAGCAACAAAGGCCCAAUGCAGCCCCCCACCCCCCAAAAAAAAGAGUACAUAUAAUGUAGACAGGGGGAAAAGUGACUCAGAGUAGAGAAACCUGACAGACCCUACCUCAGCUAAGUGAUGUCAUCCUGAGAGCAUGUACCUUUGAUAUGAAGUGAAGAUGACAUUUUACCUGUGGUCUUCCUCUCAAAACAUAACCUCAGUCUAAUCAAAGGAAAAACAUCUGACAAAUCCCAAAAGACAUUCUGCAAAAUCCCUGACCAAUGGUCCUUAAAACUGUUGAGGUCAUCAAAAAGAAGGAAAGUCUGAGAAACUUUCACAGCCAAGAGAAGACUAAGAACACAUAAUGACUAAAUACAAUACUACUGAAUGGGAUCCUGGAAUAGAAAUAGGAAAAAACUAACAAAAUCUGAAUAAAUUAUGGACUUUAGUUAAUAAUAAUGUAUAAGUAUCAUUAAAAAUGUACCAUAUUGUUAAAAAAUGUUAAUAA
Long non-coding RNA from Lagenorhynchus albirostris (white-beaked dolphin), 5007 nucleotides. RefSeq lists it as uncharacterized. Lineage: Eukaryota; Metazoa; Chordata; Mammalia; Artiodactyla; Delphinidae. The record is from RefSeq and is a predicted model, not a curated record. The transcript has 2 exons.